GUUUGAUUCGUCGCAGUCAUGGCAAGCUGUAGAAUUCGACGUUCAAGGUGUAAUGAGGACGAGGCCAUUGAGUCCAUACCUUGCUGAUGAUCAACUCGCAUUCAAAUCAGUAGCAAUUAUCGAGUCUGAGGAAGAAAUUUCAUGGAAUUUCGCGAGCUCUUGAAGACCUGCCGGAAGUGUUAGGGUAUAACGAUGCGUUCGACCUUAAGUUCCAAGAUUUCGACGGGAGUUUUGUGUAAUUUGUGUGCUUGAUGGUGAUUGCAGCUGAUCAGAGUUUAAACUCUCAAUCUGUAACGUGGAAGAUCUAGUUCAUCGGGCGGAGCGAGAGCUGCUUGAAGCUUGAUGAGGAAGGGGAUCGGGAGUGGAAUUUCAGGAUGGCAUUCAGGCUCUGGAUUAUGUUAAGCUGGAAGCCAGAUGAGGCAUGUUCUGUCUCUUUCUGUUGAUGUAUAGCUAAAUUUCCAUCGUCUUCGGCGACUAUAGAAAUUCAUGUUUGGUAAGAGAGCUUAUGCAGUCUUAUGGAGUGGGAUUUAGGUUGGUUUUGUUUAUUGUCAUGAGUCUAGAAGAGUUGAAAAGGAAGCAGUCCGUACCCUUCAGGUUACGUUGCUAAUUGUUUUUUAAGUUGCCAAUUCAAACUGUAUGACAUUGAUAAGUUGUCGACUAACCAUCCGAGACGGAAUCAAAAGUAUAGCUGGUAGAAAGGAGCAAGAAAUGGUGGAUCAUGGACAAGUCACAGUCUCUGCUAUUCAGUUGGCUUGGCAGUUGGCUUGCGCGUCAGGUGCAAUUUCAUCCAAAAAUGAACGCAUGAAGAGGCAUACGAGCGCUCCACUUGUCUACAAGGUAAUGUUGGAUUUUAUAAGCCUCAUCGCAAUACGUAUUUAAAUAUAAACAUGAGCAUUCCAACUAUGUAUUCCUGCGUGAAGUGGUUUCUUCAGUUCCAUUCUUGGAGGUUUUGUAUGAUACAUGCAAACGCAUGCUUUUCAUUCGAAUAUGAGAGUGCCAUCUUGGCCAGAGUCUGGCCUUCGCGGGAUUUGGGAGGUGUAGUUUUUGAACAUCUGGCAGUAGUGCGUGGCUUAUGGAGUGCAGCACACCCAUUUUGAUUCAGUGACUUAAUUUCCAAACGUCCUCUGGAUUUGUCCUAUGAGGUAAGCAGGUAAUUGCACGACCGUGUUUUGAAAACUCAAGUUAGCUAUUCACAAUGAAAAAAACUAAGUCAAAGUCCUAGUAGCGAUUCUUUUACGACUAAGAAGGGGAAACCGUCAAUGGUGGCUACAAUAGUAAACUGAAGAGUUUGUGGAAGGGCUUAUCAUUCUGUAGCAGAUUUACUUGUCUUGGGCUACUUGAUGGGAGGUUUUCUGAAGGCUGUUCCUUUACUUCAUGAAGCCAUCUUUGAAUCGGUGUGGAAAGAAAUCCGGUUGCAGCUCUCAGGAUCUAUAUUAUACUUAUCGGACCGCAGCUUUUAAUACUCUAGAAGGAUCUCUGGAUAUGUGGUGAUCACUGCACAAGCCUUUCAAAACUGGAUGAGAAUGCACUACUUCUAGCGAGGCGGCAUGAAGGUGUCUGGAAGGACCUAAGUAAGAGGAAACCGUUCUAUUGUUAGACUGCUUAGCUGGAGUAUGUGCAUUGAAUUUCUAUUUAUAGUGAUGACGAUGCUGGUGACAGCAUCCUUUCCAUUUUCCUUCUUUUCAUUGCUAAUAAUCAACUAAUGCGGGUCUCGGGGCUUGCUGGUUCAUAAACCGUGAAUUUUGUCUUGGAUGGUGACUUUGAUUGUGGACACGCAAACAACACUUCGGUAUGUAACCGGAAGUAGUCUGAGUGAUCCAACCUGGGUAUAACAGUUCAAUUCGAUAGCCAUCAUAUUUAGCGUUUUGGUUGCCUGGAGAUUAGGAGGGAUGAGUGACAACAGGGUCAAAGCAGCGUUUUAAGGUCUAAGUCGUUGCUCGAAUUAUGAACAGAGCUCAGAGCUACUCGGAAAUGAACCAUGUGGAGUCUCUGGAAUGGUCAAAACCAGAGAAAUAAUGCUCUGGAUUAUACCAUUGGGGAUUUUAUUCACUUUGUCGUUGCUCUACACGCUAUGAGGCUGCAAAAUGUGGCAUAAGCGACCAUGUCGGGUUUGUCUUGUUUUCCAUAUCAAAUAUUCAUUCAGUGACAAGUAGAGAAAACUUUCUAACCCUCGUGGUGUCCACCUUGCAAAGUGUUUUCUAUUUCCUUGCCCCAGAUAUAUUGACAAGUUUGGCAUAGAUGGCAGUGAAGUCAAGGAAACCAGAUGUUUUGUUCAUUAUUUUAAUAAUUAUGGUUGUUGUUAUUGUUAUUUCCGAAUUUUUUAAUUGUUUUAAAGAUUUUAAACCCUACAAGUUGGAUGUGCAGGAAAUGUUCACUACGAAAUUUAAUAAAAAGUGCGGCAGCAACUUUUGACUGGCUCCAUGUAAGUAACUUGCAACUCAACCUUGGAAGAGUGGCAUAUUUAUGGCCCUUCGAUCUUUGUUGUUUCACCAAGACUAUACACUGUGUUGCUUUGACUUA
Molecule: non-coding RNA, 2520 nt
Organism: Physcomitrium patens
Lineage: Eukaryota; Viridiplantae; Streptophyta; Bryopsida; Funariales; Funariaceae
Source: RefSeq, a predicted model, not a curated record